GUGGGGGAUAACCACGGGAAAACUGUGGCUAAUACCGCAUAAUGUCUACGGACCAAAGUGUGGGAUCUUCGGACCACACGCCCAGAGAUAGGCCCAAGUGAGAUUAGCUAGUUGGUGAGGUAAUGGCUCACCAAGGCAACGAUCUCUAGCUGUUCUGAGAGGAUGAUCAGCCACACUGGGACUGAGACACGGCCCAGACUCCUACGGGAGGCAGCAGUGGGGAAUAUUGCACAAUGGGCGCAAGCCUGAUGCAGCCAUGCCGCGUGUGUGAAGAAGGCCUUCGGGUUGUAAAGCACUUUCAGUGGUGAGGAAGGGUGUGUUGUUAAUAGCAGCAUACAUUGACGUUAACCACAGAAGAAGCACCGGCUAACUCCGUGCCAGCAGCCGCGGUAAUACGGAGGGUGCGAGCGUUAAUCGGAAUUACUGGGCGUAAAGGGCACGUAGGCGGCCUGUUAAGCAAGAUGUGAAAGCCCCGGGCUCAACCUGGGAAUGGCAUUUUGAACUGGCAGGCUCGAGUUCUGAAGAGGGUGGUAGAAUUUCAGUGUAGCGGUGAAAUGCGUAGAUAUUGGAGGAAUACCGGUGGGCGAAGGCGGCCACCUGGUCAGAAACUGACGCUGAGGUGGCGA
This 626-nucleotide ribosomal RNA is filed under the name uncultured bacterium. Its description in RNAcentral is "bacterial SSU rRNA". It matches the Rfam family "Bacterial small subunit ribosomal RNA", at positions 136 to 756 of the family's 1533-position model. The record is from RNAcentral.